ACUGAACUAUGCCUGAACUGUGAAAGAAGCACUGCGCUAUAAAUAAAGCGCGUUUUACUGUCCAAAGACUUUAAACCUAGUUCGGAGCAUGUUAAUGUCUGUCUAAGCCAUCUAACUUUGCUUACUCUCUACUCCAAACAAGUAGAGGGUGGACUGACACAGUGUAUUUGGAAACACUAAUAUAUGGUGAUCUGCUGUGCAGAUAGACAGUGGUAGGGCUUCGGAGGGUGCUUUGAUUUUGAGAGGUCAGUGGGUGGACCAUAGCACACUACGAGAUUUCUGGAGAUAAGAAGGAACUCCUGAAUUUCGUUGUGGAGCUACAUCAUGUAUGCUUUAAUACACACAUAUUUUGCUAUGUCACCUAGGUUGAUCUGUAACUAAUUUGGCAGGGAAAGGUGUUUUGUUUCUACAAAUAUUAAGGAAAAUUCAUCAGCAUUUUUAAAGCAGAUAGUUCUAAAGUUGACACUUACUUUAAGCGGUUAAAAAUAUCAGCUUGGGUCAAAUAUGGAACACAAUGGCAUUUUUUUUCUUCCAAAACGAGCACUUCCAGCCAAUUCUUUUCUUUAAUGUUUUGUAGUAUUUUAAUGGGAGGUCAUUUUAAAAGGUUUUCAUUUUUUCAUUCAUGUGAAAACAGCAUUUCAAAGGGAGUUUCUCAGAGACAUCCAAGGCGUGAUCCAAAGCCCAAAUCCAGAUGCGUGCCUAGGGAAGCACUCAGGGCGGGCGGGAGGUCUCCUGCGGUGCCCUGGCUCCUUCCCUGCUCUCAUUAGAAACAUCUGCACUCGCUCUGCAGAGAGCCACCCAGGCACCCACCCACACACCGCAGGUGCAGGGCACUCACCUCCGCGCUCAACAGGGCUUAAGCAAAAGCCAUAGCAACCAGCUAUACUGCUGUGCCUUUAGGACAAAUGUCUGGGGUUUAUCCCAGCAGAACAAAUGCAGCUAACUAGAUUUGCCGUUUAUUCAGCAGCUGAUCUCAGAGCAGUUGAGAGAGGCAGCAAAGGCGUGUGCACAGUUAAUUUCUUCUACAGGUGGCACAGCUCAAGGCAGGUGGCCAGUGGGGACUCUGCGAGUUUGUGCCACUGGAAAGGAACUCAGCAGCUUCAUUUCCCCCUUUCAUCUCUGGACAUCUGUCUGGGUUCAAAGAUUGUUGUGGAUCUGAAGCAAGAGGAUUUCAGUACGGUUUUUCAGGCCGUGGCCACGAGCGUGGGCAGGCUGCGCAUAUGAGCCGAGAGGUUUCGGCACCAGGAGUUGCCUCUGUCCUCCUGUUUAAUGAGGUUUAUUCACUGGAGGAUGGCGGAAGGCUGUGGAUUUGAAAACAAGCCUUAGCAAAGGAGGAGGCAGAAAGACCAGAAAGCAGAGGAUCUGCCAGGUUCCCAUUCCGCUCAGCUUUGCUGCUAAACUCCAGUUUUCAGGUUGUGGGAAAAGGAAAGUCUCUGCCUUUGUAUAUGUUAAACACCAGGUGUGCAGGGUUGGGAAGUGGGAGUGGAGAGCUGGCUGGAGAAUUUUUUUGCUGUGGAUUUGGACUUUUGUUUCCCAGGAGCAGCGAGUGCAGUCACAGAGCUCUCGCAAGAGGUGGUACGAGUGCAUCCUCCAUUUGAAGGCAUCUGUUCAGCACGGCACAACAUUCAGUGCAAAAAAUAAAGCCUUGAGAAACAGUUUGUUAAAGAAACA
This 1671-nucleotide long non-coding RNA is filed under the name Anser brachyrhynchus (Pink-footed goose). RNAcentral's name for it is "lncRNA (ENSABRG00000023055.1)". The record is from RNAcentral. Lineage: Eukaryota; Metazoa; Chordata; Aves; Anseriformes; Anatidae.